CCCGGCCUCAUCCCCAGCCUUUGGGCCUCCUGACAGCGCCCAGCCUCCCUACUCUGCCUCCAUGGAGCCCCGAAUGCGGAGGUCUGUGACUGAGCAGGACUGGGGCUGGGCUGGACUCCAGAGGUCUGUUCUGAAGGGGAGAGUGGUGAAGAUAAGCCCUGUGACCCCAGAGCACCUCCAGUAAGUCAGUCCUCGGGAAGUUAGCUGUCUGCGAUCUCAGGGGAGGGACCCUGGCGGGGAAGGGUGCCCGCAGGCAGGAGCCGCAGCUGGAUCCCUGGCGUGCUGAGGGACCCCGAGAAUGUGGUGUCUCUGGACCCCUCCCCUCUCCCUGAAACGAGGGGGCGGGAGGAGCUGAUCUCUGAGGUCCCUUCCAGCUCCAGCACCUUCUGUUCUAGGAAAUCCACGUGAACGUUGCUAUAGAGACGGCAUAGAGGAGCCGCAGCAGCUCGGAAUUGGACCUCCACCCAGAAGAGAGAGGAAAGAGUCACCCCAGGAAACAGCUGACGUCAGGGGUGUGUUCGCCCCUCCCCCACGCCAGGUGCCUAGGGGCCACGCUGAGUGUCCUGCUCCCUCCAGGACACACCCCACACCCCACCUGCCGUGGGCUCACCUUUGUGGCCCUGAGGCCCUCCUGGGCAAGUGGUAAGGGGUGGGCGUCCGCCCCGCCUCCGUGGGACAGGAACUGUUGGGUUGGGGCUGGGCAGGGGGCUGUUCCCUUGGCGUGUGCCCGCAGGAUCUGCCCUCGGGCUUUCCUUCCCACUGCAGCUCGGGGACUCACACCUGAGUGCUCUGGGUGGUGUCAGGAUGCAAAACAUGCGUGCCCUGGAGCCCAGUGCGGGGCGGAGGCGGGCAGGGAGCUGAUCAGAUCCAGACUCUGCAGCAAGGCACGAGGUGGGCGUGCGAGACCUCGGGCAGGAGGAGCGCAGAGCAGCCCAGGAGCUCCUGACUGCCCUCUGGGGGCAAGGGCUCUGCUUGCAUCCGCUGUUCUUGUUUUCUUGAUUAGGAAAGGGCCGCGUGAUUUGGGGCAGGGGAGCCUGUCAGCAACACAAAAGGAUGGGGUUCCCUGCCUCUGGAGUUUCUCACCUGCCCCAGUCCCAGGUCUCUUCCGGCCUCAUCCCAUCAACCCCACCUUGCUUUAGACCUCAUACCAGUGCUUCCAAACUGGGUUCCCAAGUACUCUGUGAGUCUGCACAAAAACUUUCCUGAAGCCCAGGAGGGCUCUACAGUCCCUCCCCAUUCCCCCUUGUGUCUAACUUAAGUCCCUCUCCCUCCUCAGUAGGGAAUUGGUCCAAGAGGCCCAGAGUUGGAGACAAAGGGCGCUGUGGGAGUUGAGCCCUGAGAAAGGACCACAGCGGCCAGAGCUGGACUUCACACCCCGCCACCCCGGGGCCACCGGGAGAUGCUCUGUUUGUUCCUGGGCCCUUUGACUGCCAGGAAAUGGCAGGCGACCGAUUCCCUGUUGAUCCUUGGCCUUUGCC
Molecule: long non-coding RNA, 1478 nt
Filed under: Mustela putorius furo (domestic ferret)
Lineage: Eukaryota; Metazoa; Chordata; Mammalia; Carnivora; Mustelidae
Description: lncRNA (ENSMPUG00000026601.1)
Source: RNAcentral